AUUUCACUUAGAAUCAUCGUACCUGAAUCCACUCAUUAUGCUGCUACGGGCCUGAUGACAUAGAUUUCAUUGCUGAGUGAUACUGCAUUGGACUUAAAAUCAUCGUACCUGAAUCCACUCAUUAUGCUGCUACGGGCCUGAUGACAUAGAUUUCAUUGCUGAGAGAUAUUGCAUUGUACGUAAAAUCAUCGUACCUGAAUCCACUCAUUAUGCUGCUACGGGCCUGAUGACAUAGAUUUCAUUGCUGAGUGAUACUGCAUUGUAUGUAAGUACCACAACUUCUUUAUCCAUUUUUCGC
Long non-coding RNA from Orcinus orca (killer whale), 298 nucleotides. RefSeq lists it as uncharacterized. The record is from RefSeq and is a predicted model, not a curated record. The transcript is spliced from 3 exons. NCBI's taxonomy places the organism in Eukaryota, Metazoa, Chordata, Mammalia, Artiodactyla, Delphinidae.